Panicum virgatum (switchgrass) is the source of this 605-nucleotide long non-coding RNA. RefSeq lists it as uncharacterized. The record is from RefSeq and is a predicted model, not a curated record. The transcript has 2 exons. NCBI's taxonomy places the organism in Eukaryota, Viridiplantae, Streptophyta, Magnoliopsida, Poales, Poaceae.
GGUCUUCUCAGCCUCAGCAUCCGCCGCCGUUGUCUCCUCCUCUGGAAGUGCCGCCGCCGCCUCUGAUCCAGCGCCGCCACCGCCGCACCACCAACUUGCUCGCCGGAUCCAUGGCCACCGGUGCCAGAUCGGCUCAUGGCUCGGCCGUAUCCGGCCAUCCUUCCCCCUUCCCCUCCCCUCCCCCAAGACUAGGCGGCCAUCGCUCAAACCCCCUCGGAGGAGGGCUCAAGACAGAGGGGCGAGAGCAGGGUCGAUGGGAGGCCACAUUGCCGGUUCUCCACGGCGUGCGGUCACGUGCCCCGGCGCUCUGGGCCGGCAGGCGCGGGCGAAGGAGGCACGACGAAAGAGGACGACGAUCUCACGGCGGCGCCGGCCUCGAAGUUGGCGACGGCGAGGAAGACGAAGAACAGGGCCAUUGAUUGAUUCCAUGGACGGAUGAAGCGACGCCAUGAACGGGCGUCUCCUUGCACGCACGCAGUAACUGCCCCUUGAAGGGACACACCGAUUCACCAAGAGGGAUGGAUGAGAUCAACCCUUAAUUAUUUAUAACAAUUAUGAGAUGUACAUGUAUUACGUGUCCUUAUAUAGAGAAUUUUUAUACUUUU